Molecule: ribosomal RNA, 253 nt
Filed under: uncultured bacterium
Lineage: Bacteria
Description: partial 16S ribosomal RNA
Rfam family: Bacterial small subunit ribosomal RNA
Source: RNAcentral
GACGAAGGGGGCUAGCGUUGCUCGGAAUUACUGGGCGUAAAGGGCGCGUAGGCGGACAGUUUAGUCAGAGGUGAAAGCCCAGGGCUCAACCCUGGAAUUGCCUUUGAUACUGACUGUCUUGAGUACGGGAGAGGUGUGUGGAACUCCGAGUGUAGAGGUGAAAUUCGUAGAUAUUCGGAAGAACACCAGUGGCGAAGGCGACACACUGGCCCGUUACUGACGCUGAGGCGCGAAAGCGUGGGGAGCAAACAGG